ACGGCGUUCUCGCCGGAUGUAGGAACCGACCCGGGGGACCGCCGGGGCAACCCGGCGCCCCCGAGACGGGGCGAACCACGGUGAAAUGACGGAUCGUCGGCCCCGCGCCGGCGACUCGCCGAAUGAGUUUCUGACCUAUCAACUCGAGACGGCGGGGUAGAGGCCCGCCGCGGUAACGACGGGUAACGGGGAAUCAGGGUUCGAUUCCGGAGAGGGAGCCCGAGAAACGGCUACCACUUCCAAGGAAGGCAGCAGGCGCGCAACUUACCCUAAUCUCGAUUCGAGGAGGUAGUGACAAGAAAUACCGAUGCGGGACCCUACGGGUGCCGCGUUCGGAAUGAGUACGAUUCGAACCACCUAACGAGGAACGAUCGGAGGGCAAGUCUGGUGCCAGCAGCCGCGGUAAUUCCAGCUCCAAUAGCGUACGUUAAAGUUGCUGCAG
This 442-nucleotide ribosomal RNA is filed under the name uncultured eukaryote. RNAcentral describes it as "bacterial SSU rRNA". It matches the Rfam family "Eukaryotic small subunit ribosomal RNA", at positions 198 to 618 of the family's 1831-position model. The record is from RNAcentral.